ACGCAAUAGAUACCCUGGUAGUCCACGCCCUAAACGAUGUCUACUAGUUGUCGGGUCUUAAUUGACUUGGUAAACGCAGCUAAACGCGUGAAGUAGACCGCCUGGGGAGUACGGUCGCAAGAUUAAAACUCAAAGGAAUUGACGGGGACCCGCACAAGCGGUGGAUGAUGUGGAUUAAAUUCGAUGCAACGCGAAAAACCUUACCUACCCUUGACAUGGAUGGAAUCCCUGAGAGAUUGGGGAGUGCCCGAAAGGGAACCAUUACACAGGUGCUGCAUGGCUGUCGUCAGCUCGUGUCGUGAGAUGUUGGGUUAAGUCCCGCAACGAGCGCAACCCUUGUCAUUAGUUGCUACGAAAGGGCACUCUAAUGAGACUGCCGGUGACAAACCGGAGGAAGGUGGGGAUGACGUCAAGUCCUCAUGGCCCUUAUGGGUAGGGCUUCACACGUCAUACAACGGUACAUACAGAGGGCCGCCAACCCGCGAGGGGGAGCUAAUCCCAGAAAGUGUAUCGUAGUCCGGAUUGUAGUCUGCAACUCG
This 539-nucleotide ribosomal RNA is filed under the name uncultured bacterium. RNAcentral's name for it is "bacterial SSU rRNA". It matches the Rfam family "Bacterial small subunit ribosomal RNA", at positions 774 to 1314 of the family's 1533-position model. The record is from RNAcentral.